CUUGCAAUGCCAAUUGUCAAACAACUGUCACUUUGAAACAUGCUCGUGCUUACCGUCAUCUUCACCCGAGACUGCGUCCGCAACAGCCAGUUCCCCUAAGCAAGAUUCACUUAGAAAUUGGAGAGCAUACUUGAUCGGCUCCAUUUUUCAACACGGUGUACCUGGCCAUCUUCAUCGUAUACGGCUAUGAAAAGAAAUGGUGGACUUCACUAAACUGUUUCUGCCAAAAAAAGCCAGGGAGCGAAUCAAGUGAACCAGAUCAAGCAGUAGAUCCCUUGUCCGGCAGGACAUCGCAUCAGACUGCCGGGGACAGUAGGAGAGAAGACGAGGCGAACACAGAUUCAAGAACCACAAAGAAACGCUGUUGCAACACUGUGCUAUUAGCAUUAUGUGUAUUUUGUUAUGUCUUGCUGAAUACUAUUCUGUCUUUAAUAAUGUAUUUCUACAUGUAAGGCAAUUCAUAUGUAACACUAUGUAUGCACUCUUGUAGUUUUGUAAAAUAAAUAUAAUGAAACCCCUCUCUUCAUCCCCACGAUAGGAUGUUAGUGAACAAUUUCGACUAUAUAAGGAACGCGGGGCGCGGUGGGCGAGCUGGCUAAGGCGCCAAGCUAGUGAUCCAGCGAGCUUGAGGUGACG
This is a long non-coding RNA of Haliotis rubra (blacklip abalone), 636 nucleotides long. RefSeq lists it as uncharacterized. The transcript has 5 exons. The record is from RefSeq and is a predicted model, not a curated record. Lineage: Eukaryota; Metazoa; Mollusca; Gastropoda; Lepetellida; Haliotidae.